AUUAGAUGUCAUGUGUAUGAGUGAGUAUACCAACUAGAACCACAAUUGGAAUUUUAAAAGCCUAAGUAUUAUAUCCUUGUUAGAAGAUACAAAGACAAAGACUCAUACGGACUUUGGCUACACCAUCAAAGCUUUUAGAAGCAAGAAGAAGCUUGGUUAGUGUUUUGGAGUCGAAUAUGACUUGAUGUGAUGUGUAUGAUUGAGUAUAAGAAAUUAAACCGCAACCGGAACUUAAAAGCCUAAGUAUUGUUUUCUUGUUAGAAGAAACAAAGC
This 273-nucleotide small RNA is filed under the name Arabidopsis thaliana (thale cress). Its description in RNAcentral is "ATSL269370". Lineage: Eukaryota; Viridiplantae; Streptophyta; Magnoliopsida; Brassicales; Brassicaceae. The record is from RNAcentral.